AUCCUGGCUCAGGAUGAACGCUAGCGACAGGCCUAACACAUGCAAGUCGAGGGGCAGCGAGAAUAAAGCUUGCUUUAUUUGUCGGCGACCGGGCGCACGGGUGAGUAACGCGUAUGCAACCUUCCGCUACUCGGGGGAUAACCCGAAGAAAUUCGGACUAACACCGUAUGUGCUUAUAAUUCGCAUGAAUUUUAAGUGAAAAGUUAUGAGUAGCGAUGGGCAUGCGUAUGAUUAGCUAGUUGGCGGGGUAACGGCCCACCAAGGCGACGAUCAUUAGGGGUUCUGAGAGGAAGGUCCCCCACACUGGUACUGAGACACGGACCAGACUCCUACGGGAGGCAGCAGUGAGGAAUAUUGGUCAAUGGGCGAGAGCCUGAACCAGCCAAGUCGCGUGAAGGAUGACUGAUCUAUGGUUUGUAAACUUCUUUUAUAAGGGAAUAAAGUGCAGCACGUGUGCUGUUUUGUAUGUACCUUAUGAAUAAGCAUCGGCUAACUCCGUGCCAGCAGCCGCGGUAAUACGGAGGAUGCGAGCGUUAUCCGGAUUUAUUGGGUUUAAAGGGUGCGUAGGCGGUUACUGUAAGUCAGUGGUGAAAUUUUGAUGCUUAACAUUAAAAGUGCCAUAGAUACUGCAGAGCUGGAAUGGGGAUGCUGUCAGCGGAAUGUGUAGUGUAGCGGUGAAAUGCAUAGAUAUUACACAGAACACCGAUUGCGAAGGCAGCUGACAAAUCCUUUAUUGACGCUGAUGCACGAAAGUGUGGGGAUCAAACAGGAUUAGAUACCCUGGUAGUCCACACAGUAAACGAUGAUAACUCGCUGUCGGCGAUACACAGUCGGUGGCCAAGCGAAAGCGAUAAGUUAUCCACCUGGGGAGUACGACCGCAAGGUUGAAACUCAAAGGAAUUGACGGGGGCCCGCACAAGCGGAGGAACAUGUGGUUUAAUUCGAUGAUACGCGAGGAACCUUACCCGGGCUCGAACGGUACAUGAACGACACAGAGAUGUGAAGGCCAGCAAUGGCAUGUAUCGAGGUGCUGCAUGGUUGUCGUCAGCUCGUGCCGUGAGGUGUCGGCUUAAGUGCCAUAACGAGCGCAACCCUUGCCAAUAGUUACUAACAGGUUAUGCUGAGGACUCUAUUGGGACUGCCAUCGUAAGAUGUGAGGAAGGUGGGGAUGACGUCAAAUCAGCACGGCCCUUACGUCCGGGGCUACACACGUGUUACAAUGGGAGGUACAGAAGGCCGCUACCCGGCGACGGGAUGCCAAUUCCCAAAACCUCUCUCAGUUCGGAUUGGAGUCUGCAACCCGACUCCAUGAAGCUGGAUUCGCUAGUAAUCGCGCAUCAGCCACGGCGCGGUGAAUACGUUCCCGGGCCUUGCACACACCGCCCGUCAAG
Molecule: ribosomal RNA, 1391 nt
Filed under: uncultured bacterium
Lineage: Bacteria
Description: partial 16S ribosomal RNA
Rfam family: Bacterial small subunit ribosomal RNA
Source: RNAcentral